GUAACACGUGGACAAUCUGACCUAUGGAAGGGGAUAAUCCCGGGAAACUGGGGAUAAUACCCUAUAGACUAUGGAUGCUGGAAUGCACUGUAGUCGAAAGGUCCGCCGCCAUAGGAUGGGUCUGCGGCCGAUUAGGUAGUUGUUGGGGUAACGGCCCAACAAGCCUGUAAUCGGUACGGGUUGUGGGAGCAAGAGCCCGGAGAUGGAUUCUGAGACACGAAUCCAGGCCCUACGGGGCGCAGCAGGCGCGAAAACUUUACAAUGCGGGAAACCGUGAUAGGGGAACUCCGAGUGCCCGUAAAAUCGGGCUGUCCACCAGUUUAAACAACUGGUGAAGAAAGGGCCGGGCAAGACCGGUGCCAGCCGCCGCGGUAAUACCGGCGGCUCGAGUGGUGGCCACUAUUACUGGGCUUAAAGCGUUCGUAGCUGGUUUGUUAAGUCUCUGGGGAAAUCUUCCGGCUUAACCGGAAGGCGUCUCAGGGAUACUGGCAGACUAGGGACCGGGAGAGGUGAGGGGUACUCCAGGGGUAGGAGUGAAAUCCUGUAAUCCUUGGGGGACCACCUGUGGCGAAGGCGCCUCACCAGAACGGCUCCGACAGUGAGGGACGAAAGCUGGGGGAGCAAACCGGAUUAGAUACCCGGGUAGUCCCAGCUGUAAACGAUGCGCGUUAGGUGUAUCAGUGACCACGAGUCACUGAGGUGCCGAAGAGAAAUCGUGAAACGUGCCGCCUGGGAAGUACGGUCGCAAGGCUGAAACUUAAAGGAAUUGGCGGGGGAGCACCACAACAGGUGGAGCCUGCGGUUUAAUCGGACUCAACGCCGGGAAACUCACCAGUUAAGACAGCUGAAUGAUAGUCGGGCUGAAGACUCUACUUGACUAGCUGAGAGGAGGUGCAUGGCCGUCGUCAGUUCGUACUGUGAAGCAUCCUGUUAAGUCAGGCAACGAGCGAGACCCA
Molecule: ribosomal RNA, 956 nt
Filed under: uncultured methanogenic archaeon
Lineage: Archaea; Methanobacteriati; Methanobacteriota
Description: bacterial SSU rRNA
Rfam family: Archaeal small subunit ribosomal RNA
Source: RNAcentral